GAUAGUCUUGAACCAUGAUCCCCCUGAUCUCAGCCUCCCAAGUAGCUUGGAUUACAGGCGUUGAACCAUCCACCUAGCCCCUUGGUUUUUUAAGACAAAGUCUCACUAUGUAACUCAGCCUAAUCUCAAACUCAAGAUCCCCCUGUUUCUGCCUCCAGUGUGCUGGGAUUUACAGGUGUACACCACCACACUUGGCCUGAGUUACCAAAUUAAAGAACCACCGGAGUAAUCAGUGCCCACCUUCCAACAGGUGACCAAAUGUUGAUGCCCUCCAGAACUCAUCACAACCCUCUUCUCCUGUGUAAAGUGGGAAAACAUUUGAAGUAAAAAUCAACCAAGUCAACAAUGUUUCAGACGUCUCUUCCGAAUCGAGUGGAAGCAGGUUUUAGAUACACUCACCUGGUCUCCCACCACUCCAGGCUCAAAAGUGCUCUGAGGCUCAACUAAUUGUCACCAGUCGUGCAGUGAAACCUUCAGAGAAGUUGGAAGGCCCCAUCCAUCACCUCAGAGUCGGGGCUCUAUCAUCACUAAAGAAGGCACGGUCAGAAUCUAAAACACACAUUGCGCCUCCCGGACUCUAUGCUCUCUGGAAAGUGGUCCUCAUCCGGCACCGGCCCCCAACUCCUCUCACAGACUGGUUCCCCCCAGCUGUGUCCCGCACGCUCCUU
Molecule: non-coding RNA, 668 nt
Organism: Castor canadensis (American beaver)
Lineage: Eukaryota; Metazoa; Chordata; Mammalia; Rodentia; Castoridae
Source: RefSeq, a predicted model, not a curated record